GACAGAGGGUGCAAACGUUGCUCGGAAUCACUGGGCGUAAAGGGCGUGUAGGCGGGAAUGUAAGUCGGGCGUGAAAUCCCCAGGCUCAACCUGGGAACUGCACUCGAAACUGCGUUUCUUGAGUAUCGGAGAGGAAAGCGGAAUACCUGGUGUAGAGGUGAAAUUCGUAGAUAUCAGGUGGAACACCAGUGGCGAAGGCGGCUUUCUGGACGAUUACUGACGCUGAGACGCGAAAGCGUGGGGAGCAAACAGG
RNAcentral lists this ribosomal RNA (253 nucleotides) under uncultured bacterium. Its description in RNAcentral is "partial 16S ribosomal RNA". It matches the Rfam family "Bacterial small subunit ribosomal RNA", at positions 524 to 776 of the family's 1533-position model. The record is from RNAcentral.